UGAGGAAUAUUGGUCAAUGGACGGAAGUCUGAACCAGCCAAGUAGCGUGCAGGAUGACGGCCCUAUGGGUUGUAAACUGCUUUUGUAUGGGGAUAAAGUUAGGGACGUGUCCCUAUUUGCAGGUACCAUAUGAAUAAGGACCGGCUAAUUCCGUGCCAGCAGCCGCGGUAAUACGGAAGGUUCAGGCGUUAUCCGGAUUUAUUGGGUUUAAAGGGAGCGUAGGCUGGAGAUUAAGUGUGUUGUGAAAUGUAGACGCUCAACGUCUGACUUGCAGCGCAUACUGGUUUCCUUGAGUACGCACAACGUUGGCGGAAUUCGUCGUGUAGCGGUGAAAUGCUUAGAUAUGACGAAGAACUCCGAUUGCGAAGGCAGCUGACGGGAGCGCAACUGACGCUGAAGCUCGAAGGUGCGGGUAUCAAACAGGAUUAGAUACCCUGGUAGUCCGCACAGUAAACGAUGGAUGCCCGCUGUUGGUACCUGGUAUCAGCGGCUAAGCGAAAGCAUUAAGCAUCCCACCUGGGGAGUACGCCGGCAACGGUG
RNAcentral lists this ribosomal RNA (540 nucleotides) under uncultured bacterium. RNAcentral describes it as "bacterial SSU rRNA". It matches the Rfam family "Bacterial small subunit ribosomal RNA", at positions 355 to 896 of the family's 1533-position model. The record is from RNAcentral.